This 443-nucleotide small RNA is filed under the name Arabidopsis thaliana (thale cress). RNAcentral's name for it is "ATSL255840". The record is from RNAcentral. Lineage: Eukaryota; Viridiplantae; Streptophyta; Magnoliopsida; Brassicales; Brassicaceae.
UUUCUUUUCUUUUCCAAAUAAGCUUGAACCUAUGUCCAACUCAAUCACAAGAACACAUUUAAGCGAGUAAUACAACCAUGUCGUAAGUUUAGGAACAUAAUAAGAAGCCGGAUAGGUUGAAUAAAUAACGGCUUUGAAUGGUAACUCAUUAUCAAAGUUGUACAAACUGUACAACUUUGACAGUUACCAUUCAAAAAAACUUUAUCAAAAACGUUACAAAAAGUUUUAUUCUAAACUUUUCUGUACAGCUCUUUUAGACAGUUUUGUACUAUUUCGUAACAGUUUACCGCUCCAGCUAACAGCUAAAGUUUUGUGUUACCAAUCAGACCCAACAUGAUUUAAGUUGUUUUGGUGAGUACAUUUUUAAGUGAAGAGAGACUAGAAUGGAUUUUGAACGAAAAGGAUAGAGAACUAAGAGAAGAGUUACAAUAUGAAUGGCCAUG